This 897-nucleotide ribosomal RNA is filed under the name Sporothrix globosa. RNAcentral's name for it is "LSU rRNA". It matches the Rfam family "Eukaryotic large subunit ribosomal RNA", at positions 38 to 966 of the family's 3401-position model. The record is from RNAcentral. Lineage: Eukaryota; Fungi; Ascomycota; Sordariomycetes; Ophiostomatales; Ophiostomataceae.
GCAUAUCAAUAAGCGGAGGAAAAGAAACCAACAGGGAUUGCCCCAGUAACGGCGAGUGAAGCGGCAACAGCUCAAAUUUGAAAUCUGGCCCCCCGGCCCGAGUUGUAAUUUGGAGAGGAUGCUUCUGGCGCGGCGCCGUCCGAGUUCCUUGGAACAGGACGCCACAGAGGGUGAGAGCCCCGUACGGACGGACGCCUAGCCUCUACGAAGCUCCUUCGACGAGUCGAGUAGUUUGGGAAUGCUGCUCAAAAUGGGAGGUAAAUUUCUUCUAAAGCUAAAUACCGGCCAGAGACCGAUAGCGCACAAGUAGAGUGAUCGAAAGAUGAAAAGCACUUUGAAAAGAGGGUUAAAAAGUACGUGAAAUUGUUGAAAGGGAAGCGCCUGUGACCAGACUUGCGCCUCGCGGACCACCCGGCGUUCUCGCCGGUGCACUCUGCGUGGCGCAGGCCAGCAUCGGUUCUCCCAGGGGGACAAAGGCCGCGGGAACGUAGCUCCUUUGGGAGUGUUAUAGCCCGCGGCGGCAUGCCCCUGGGGGGACCGAGGACCGCGCUUCGGCAAGGAUGCUGGCGUAAUGGUCACCAGCGACCCGUCUUGAAACACGGACCAAGGAGUCAAGCAUUGGGGCGAGUGUAUGGGUGCCAAACCCGCACGCGAAAUGAAAGUAAACGCAGGUGAGAGCUUCGGCGCAUCAUCGACCGAUCCUGAUGUCUUCGGAUGGAUUUGAGUAAGAGCCUUACCGCUUGGACCCGAAAGAUGGUGAACUAUGCCUGAAUAGGGUGAAGCCAGAGGAAACUCUGGUGGAGGCUCGCAGCGGUUCUGACGUGCAAAUCGAUCGUCAAAUUUGGGCAUGGGGGCGAAAGACUAAUCGAACCAUCUAGUAGCUGGUUACCGCCGAGU